Molecule: ribosomal RNA, 446 nt
Filed under: uncultured bacterium
Lineage: Bacteria
Description: partial 16S ribosomal RNA
Rfam family: Bacterial small subunit ribosomal RNA
Source: RNAcentral
GUGAGGAAUAUUGGUCAAUGGGCGAGAGCCUGAACCAGCCAAGUCGCGUGAAGGAAGAAGGAUCUAUGGUUCGUAAACUUCUUUUGCAGGGGAAUAAAGUGCGGGACGUGUCCUGUUUUGUAUGUACCCUGAGAAUAAGGAUCGGCUAACUCCGUGCCAGCAGCCGCGGUAAUACGGAGGAUCCGAGCGUUAUCCGGAUUUAUUGGGUUUAAAGGGUGCGUAGGUGGUUUGAUAAGUCAGCGGUGAAAGUUUGCAGCUUAACUGUAAAAAUGCCGUUGAAACUGUCGGACUUGAGUGUAAAUGAGGUAGGCGGAAUGCGUGGUGUAGCGGUGAAAUGCAUAGAUAUCACGCAGAACUCCGAUUGCGAAGGCAGCUUACUAAGCUACAACUGACACUGAAGCACGAAAGCGUGGGGAUCAAACAGGAUUAGAAACCCGUGUUAGUCC